CCUACGGGAGGCAGCAGUGGGGAAUUUUGGACAAUGGGCGCAAGCCUGAUCCAGCAAUGCCGCGUGAGUGAAGAAGGCCUUCGGGUUGUAAAGCUCUUUUGUCAGGGAAGAAACGGUGGAGGUUAAUACCUUCUGCUAAUGACGGUACCUGAAGAAUAAGCACCGGCUAACUACGUGCCAGCAGCCGCGGUAAUACGUAGGGUGCAAGCGUUAAUCGGAAUUACUGGGCGUAAAGCGUGCGCAGGCGGUUGUGCAAGACAGAUGUGAAAUCCCCGGGCUCAACCUGGGAAUUGCAUUUGUGACUGUACGGCUAGAGUGUGUCAGAGGGGGGUAGAAUUCCACGUGUAGCAGUGAAAUGCGUAGAGAUGUGGAGGAAUACCGAUGGCGAAGGCAGCCCCCUGGGAUAACACUGACGCUCAUGCACGAACGACGUGGGGUAGGACGAACAGGAGUAGUAUACCUACGGUAGUACCGACCGACCCGUAACCGAACUAGUCUACUAGUU
This 505-nucleotide ribosomal RNA is filed under the name uncultured bacterium. RNAcentral's name for it is "bacterial SSU rRNA". It matches the Rfam family "Bacterial small subunit ribosomal RNA", at positions 338 to 824 of the family's 1533-position model. The record is from RNAcentral.